GCACUGCUGAGGAGUCCCAUAAUAGGACGAAACGGCCGUCCAGCGC
Molecule: non-coding RNA, 46 nt
Organism: Schistosoma curassoni
Lineage: Eukaryota; Metazoa; Platyhelminthes; Trematoda; Strigeidida; Schistosomatidae
Source: Rfam